Oncorhynchus keta (chum salmon) is the source of this 693-nucleotide long non-coding RNA. RefSeq lists it as uncharacterized. The record is from RefSeq and is a predicted model, not a curated record. Lineage: Eukaryota; Metazoa; Chordata; Actinopteri; Salmoniformes; Salmonidae. The transcript is spliced from 5 exons.
UGGGAUUAAAUUUAGGAGGUAGGCAUAUCCUUUCCAGAUAAAACUUUGAUUGGAAUCUGUGCUUCAUGAGCAGCAAUCAAUCUGCAUGCAGGCAGCCUGCUCCAGCUCAUUGGUCAAACUUCCAUAUGGCAGUUGGAACAGACACAGCUGGAAAACAUAGACAGUUUCUGUAAAUUUACACCAUUUUUUACAUUUGACUGCUAAAUGGUAGUCCCUGUUCUCCUGCAUUCUUGUUUUACUUUCGUAAGUAAAGCGGCAGUUUGUUGUGGAGAAGAAUUUCAAGGAAACAUUUGCUAGCUAUUUAACAUUAGCUCUCUGGCUAAUCCUCCAUGGACAUGGAAUCUUGUAGCUUGGAUGGAGGAAGGAACAAAGGGAAUGAGUUUAGAAAUUUCCUGAAACAUGUCAAUGACCUGAUGCAUGGCCUCUACAGGGGUGCUUGGCCACACACUCAGGUACCAGUGACCUAUUCUGCCACAUCGCCAGGGAAGGAAGAGAGCAGAACCACUCUUCCAUGAAUCCAUGACAGUGCGAAACCCUUGUCCUGAUUCAUGUAAAGUUGAUCUGACCCAUCAAACGACUUUUCAAGAGGGUCACCACGCUCCAGAUCUCUUUCUGUGCUCAGAGGUACUUGAUGAGGAUCUACCCCAUCACACCACUAAUGAAUUAUUAAUCAAAUAAAACAAUGGGCCUUUG